GUAGGGAGAGACGGCCCUCACCUGG
Molecule: non-coding RNA, 25 nt
Filed under: Cricetulus griseus (Chinese hamster)
Lineage: Eukaryota; Metazoa; Chordata; Mammalia; Rodentia; Cricetidae
Source: RNAcentral